RNAcentral lists this long non-coding RNA (460 nucleotides) under Gossypium barbadense (sea-island cotton). Its description in RNAcentral is "long non-coding RNA (GBAR_LNC003733)". Lineage: Eukaryota; Viridiplantae; Streptophyta; Magnoliopsida; Malvales; Malvaceae. The record is from RNAcentral.
UCUGCUAUAGAUCAUCAACACCCAGUGGUUGAUCAAAUAAUUUUGAAUUGAAUAAAAAAAACUGGAAGUCAAAUGAGAACGAAUAAACAUGGCAUUAGUACAUAAAUUACGGAGGAAAUAAGCACGAAUAACAACGUAAGCCAACUAUGUAAUGAUACUCAAUUUUCAUCCACUUGCUUUAAAAAAGUUCAUUGAAACUUGAAAGACCAACAAGGAACAGAGCAUUAUUAAAUUUCCACAUAAAGCUCCAAACUCCAUUGAAGCAACUGUUUAUAAGGAAUAUAAAAAGGGGAUUCCUCAUAAUCAUCCAUAGACAAUUAAUCAAAAACAUAACAAAAGAUGAAACCAUUUUAAAUUAACCAAAAUGAGCAAAGAGCAGGUAUGAUUGAGGCAGAGGUACCGUUCCAACGAGAUUUAGGAGUAGCCUCAAGCACAGCCUCAAGAUCAUCAUUCCUAGUAC